RNAcentral lists this ribosomal RNA (253 nucleotides) under uncultured bacterium. RNAcentral's name for it is "partial 16S ribosomal RNA". It matches the Rfam family "Bacterial small subunit ribosomal RNA", at positions 524 to 776 of the family's 1533-position model. The record is from RNAcentral.
UACGUAGGGUGCGAGCGUUGUCCGGAAUUACUGGGCGUAAAGAGCUCGUAGGUGGUUUGUCGCGUUGUUCGUGAAAACUCACAGCUUAACUGUGGGCGUGCGGGCGAUACGGGCAGACUGGAGUACUGCAGGGGAGACUGGAAUUCCUGGUGUAGCGGUGGAAUGCGCAGAUAUCAGGAGGAACACCGGUGGCGAAGGCAGGUCUCUGGGCCGAUACUGACGCUGAGGAGCGAAAGCGUGGGGAGCGAACAGG